This is a long non-coding RNA of Megachile rotundata (alfalfa leafcutting bee), 634 nucleotides long. The record is from RefSeq and is a predicted model, not a curated record. Lineage: Eukaryota; Metazoa; Arthropoda; Insecta; Hymenoptera; Megachilidae.
UACAAAUUUGAAAAUUGAUCUCAAAAAACCUUUCCUUAGAGAAGGCCACUAUACUCGUUAUCAUAUAUUAAUCAUUAGACAGCAAAUCACUGACAAGGCGGCAACGAAUUAAAAUUUCAUUUUUUCAAGUUUUGAAUAUUCUAAUAUAUUAAUAAUAUAAGAAGUUCAAUGAAAAAUUCGUACGCCUAGCUUUAACCGAAACACUGUUAUUGAAUAGGUCUGGGUCACGAUUGACCCGUCUUUGGCGUCCGAGGGUUGACGAAAGAGCUUAGUUAAAAGGUUUGCGAAAAGAGACGCGAAGAAGAGAGAAAUAUCAACAGGCGUGAAGCCGACGUCAGGAUUGUCGUGUAGGAAGCAAAUGGAGGGACACGGUGGUCGGCGGCGUCGGUAGCGGAAAGAAUCGUGAAGGGUCACGUUUAGUCUCGUCCGUACGGCUUAAGGCCCCUACGCGGCGGUUCGAUGCUCAUAUCUGCCCCGUGUCCCGUAUCCGCGCGAAGCGCCUUUCAAAACACCAACGACGCGUGCCAGACACACUGUGUGGUGCCGCGGAUCUCGUCGAGGAUUAUCGUGCGAAUUAAAAUACGUGAGAGAGAAGCCGAGUGACGUGUACCAAACUUCUGCCCGAUGUCGUCAG